CCCUCCUGCUCCGGGUAGCUGAGGCCCUGGAAGUAGUAGUGUUGAUACAUGGUCUCAUACUGGGAGAAGCAAGUUGCCUUGGAGAAGCUGCGGCUGCUGUAUUUGGGCCUGCGGAAGCCGUGGGCUGCAAUGACUGAGACAAGUGACAUUUACCUAUGAUGUUGUGCCGACAGUGGGGACAGGUGUGGUGCUGCAACAGCCAUGGAUCAACGCAUUUCCUGUGGAACCGUUAUAGGUCAACUCCAUUUCCUGAGGCAAAGCUCACAGACAGUUUCUAUGGAGAAGAAAAUUGUCUGCCAUAUCCCUCAGUGUUAAAAGAAGUGGGAACAGCACAUGUAGCUCCCUUUGAGUUGGGAGGAUACACAUUUAUUCAUGUCUUCAUAUAGAAAAACUAAAGCCUUGUACUAAUGAUAUGAAGCCUAGGAACUAUGAACAGAGAGAGCUAGGAAUAUCCCACGAUAUUAUUCAUGUCUUCAAGUGGGAUUAGGGUUUGCCUCCAAAUUGUGCUAAUGGAGACAAGUAGAAAAAAAGAUGUCUGAAACUUGCGGCAGAAGGGUAAAUUCUCCAAUCCCUUCUGUCACUGGACCAUACAGAGCAAAUGCAAUGGAUUUUUCUGUGGCAGAACUUCCUAUGGAGUUCCCAAGCCUGAGCAUCCUCCAAGUUUCCUAAUUUCACUUUAUCUUUUCAUUUUCUGACCAGUCCCACACAUAGUAACAUUCAAAUUAAUAUCUAAUAAUGUGCCCGAUAUGAUGCCAAGAGGUCUACCUCCAAUUUCUCCAUAAGCUUCAUGAUCACCCGGGAGGGUAGUCAGUGUCAAGCCCAUGUCACAAGUACAGACACUGAGAAUGAAGACAUUUUUCUAUGUUCACAAGGUUAAGACUCCACCUGGGCCAGGGUUAGAGCUGAGGAAGUCUAUCCCAUGGCUCAUGCAAGAAGUUAUUAUUCCAGAUGCUUCUGUAAAAACUUACAUUCAUUCAACAGUUUAAAAGCAAUGGAAUAGUUUUAUCAAAGGCACAUCAAACGCCUAAAAUUCUCAAGUGGUUUGCUCCUUGGUCCCCAAAACUGUGGAUGUACCUAUUCAGAUAGAGAUUUUCAGGUACCAACCAAAAUAUUGCCAAUAAGUGAUUAUGAUAAAUAAUCUAUGCGGUUCAUGGUCCUAUUCUUGCAAUUUUUCUGAAGGAUUGAAACUUUCCAAAUAAACAGUAUUGGGGGAAAUCAAA
Cavia porcellus (domestic guinea pig) is the source of this 1220-nucleotide long non-coding RNA. RefSeq lists it as uncharacterized. The transcript has 3 exons. The record is from RefSeq and is a predicted model, not a curated record. NCBI's taxonomy places the organism in Eukaryota, Metazoa, Chordata, Mammalia, Rodentia, Caviidae.